This 460-nucleotide ribosomal RNA is filed under the name uncultured bacterium. RNAcentral's name for it is "partial 16S ribosomal RNA". It matches the Rfam family "Bacterial small subunit ribosomal RNA", at positions 339 to 795 of the family's 1533-position model. The record is from RNAcentral.
CUACGGGAGGCAGCAGUAAGGAAUAUUGGACAAUGGUCGGAAGACUGAUCCAGCCAUGCCGCGUGAAGGAUGAAGGCGCUCAGCGUUGUAAACUUCUUUUGUACAGGAACAAAAUGCGACCUGCGGGUUGUACUGAGGGUACUGUAAGAAUAAGCACCGGCUAACUCCGUGCCAGCAGCCGCGGUAAUACGGAGGGUGCAAGCGUUAUCCGGAAUCACUGGGUUUAAAGGGUGCGUAGGCGGUCUGAUAAGUCAGUUGUGAAAUUCCCUCGCUUAACGAGUGGGACUGCGAUUGAUACUGUUGGACUUGAAUCAGGUUGAGGUAGGCGGAAUGUGGCAUGUAGCGGUGAAAUGCAUAGAUAUGCCAUAGAACACCAAUUGCGAAGGCAGCUUGCUGGGCUUUGAUUGACGCUGAGGCACGAAAGCGUGGGGAGCAAACAGGAUUAGAUACCCGCGUAGUC